AUGCGUGCUAGCACCACAAAUUAAUAGCUUGUCAGAUCCAUGUUGGGAUAUGUGGCUUUAACGUCCUUGAGAGCAUGUAAAGACAAUGGCUGUACUAUAGUGAUACUAUACUCAAGUAGAAAUGUGGUCCAUAUGAGGGACAUACUUUGUAGUGCCUUUUGACUCACCGGGCUGGGCAGUCUAGGCUUAAAAACGGAGUCCAAAACUCUUAAGACUUGAGCAUUAGGUACAAUCACGUAGUUUGCUCUCUUCCUCUCCUCUAUACAUGGAGACAAUUG
RNAcentral lists this long non-coding RNA (278 nucleotides) under Amborella trichopoda. RNAcentral's name for it is "long non-coding RNA (ATRI_LNC002584)". Lineage: Eukaryota; Viridiplantae; Streptophyta; Magnoliopsida; Amborellales; Amborellaceae. The record is from RNAcentral.